Molecule: long non-coding RNA, 1877 nt
Organism: Scylla paramamosain (green mud crab)
Lineage: Eukaryota; Metazoa; Arthropoda; Malacostraca; Decapoda; Portunidae
Exons: 3
Source: RefSeq, a predicted model, not a curated record
UAUACGGGUUUUCAAGCAUGUUGAUUUGUUUCUAGUGAUAGAUUAACAUUAUUUCUACAUUAUGAACAGGAGAAACACUCUUAAGAACCCGGCUAAUCAUUUCUGUGGCCUUAGAAAAUAAUGGUGAGAGAACGAAGCGUUUCUGAAUACGAAUCUAACGAUAGUAAGUAAAAGAUUCAUUCCUAGAACCGUUUUCCCUCCUCAAGUUGAAACCACAUGGGUAAGGUGAGUUGAUAGAAGGCGUAGUGGUUGUAGGAAAUCACGUCAGCGACUGUUGCCAUAGCUGGAGCUUUUCUACCCGUGUCCACCAGAGAGAUCUUAGUCAAGCUGUAAACUUCCUGGUGUACAACUGCAGCGCUAUUUGAGGAGGAUAAAAUAUUAUAUGAUGGUAUUUAUAACUAUUGUAGCUUAAUGCUCACACCAGAGAGUACGGGAAAUAAGGUGUUAUGUGAAUCUUUAUGGGACGUCAGGAAUUAUUCCAUAUAAGGACACUUAGAGAUUCUGUGUACCAGGUAGGACGAUGUGUAUGAGGUGAGAGGCUGUGUGAGAGUGCGGGUAGCUGCCUCAUCCUUAAUGGUGUGUAAAGUAUACCCACUUGCAUAAAGACGUAUGAACGACUGAGCAUUAUAGAAGGAUACGUAAUAAGUGUUUCUCACGAAUACUCUGUUUUACAUUGUCCUCGUGCUUUCAAUGACCGAGUAUCCUUGCAUAUUGCUGUGGAUGAAAGAAGUCAGGAGCCGCUUCAGCAAUCUGGCAAGUCGUGGUAAUGAAGGAAGUCUCGGACACAGCAAGUCAUAAGCCGCCACACUGGGAUCUGCUCCUGUUAUUCUCGAGUUCAAUCAAGUCAAAUCUGGAAGCAGCGACUCUGGGCUCCGCCAGUGACCGCCGCGUCCCGCUGUUCCGUCCUGGCUGUGCCCCCUGCCUCAAUUUAUGGACGAGUGUCACUAGUGCGUGUGGACAAUGAUUCACGACCUCAUCGGAGACUUCGGGUGACACGCCUAGCAUUCCUUACGGAACCCUCCAACACCACCACUACCCUGACUCCACAGCAUCCUCUAUUCCGCGGCCACGACCAUCAGCCCUCAGUCCGUCAGAGAAGGCAGUGUUAUAUUCACGCACUGUCAUCACCACCACUGCUACCACCGCCACCACCACCACCGCAGCUGCCUGUCCCUUCUGCUGGUGGAGCGAGAGUCACCACUACUAGCAGCGUCGUGAGGCGAGAUUAACUCAGCUGCAUUCCCAUCAGUAAUCUCCCCGCAAUGCAUUACUAUUAGUAUUAAUCCCCAGAGGCGCUGUGUUCCCCAGCACGCGCGCCUCGCUCCUCUCACUCUGCAUCCCAUUGGUCGUGUGUGCACUGUUGUGAUGCUCGUCUACGCCCUCUUCCUCCCUCCGCGGCGUGAUUAGCAUUUCCGGGCCGCAGCUGAACGUAUUCAUGUUCUCUUUUGUUGUCUUUAGCGCACCUCUGUUAUUCCGGCGCUUCAUUCACAAUUCCGUGUGAUGCUGCAACUUUGCCUUAGAUUCUGCGUCCGUGUGUUGUGGCGAAGCUUGAAAAGAAGCAGCAGGAGCAGGAAAUACACCUAACUACUUUUGCUCCUCCUCCUCCUCUUCCACCUACUCCUCCUACCUAUCCUUUACAGAAACACCUGUACCGCUUCACCACCCUUUACACUCCAUCCACCACCAUCCCAUCACACCUGCACCUUCAUCCCGCCAUGAGUGUAAGGGGUGGGCGGGAUGUGCACCUCAAUAAUAGUGUGUUGAGCUGCAGUGUGGUGGUGGUGGUGGUUGGCAAGUUUAUAGUAAUGAUGGGCUGUGGAGUGGUUUGUGGUUUGGUGGUGGUAUUGAUUGAUAUGAUUGCUUGGAGAGAGAGAGAG